UAAUGUUCACAUGUAAAAAGAUCAGGAUCUCUAUAUUGUGAAGCUUCCUCUUAAUUUCAUACACAUGAAAGAAAUCAGAGCAAAGUCUGUAAAAAUAUGUUUCUGAGAAGAAUACUUCAUUCAAAGUGAUGGCACCACACUGAGAAAGGAUGUGAGUCAUCGAUCGCCCUGAAAACCACACCGCAGGACAGACCGUCCUGCAGGUCUCGUCCCCGGAGAUGCUUGCAAACAUCUCUCUCUGUGUGAGAAAACGCACCCCAAAGAUGUUCUGCCGAUUUGGGGCCCUGCCGGGACAGGUCUCACCGUGUGUCUGAAGCAUUUAUCAGUGGAGGAAGGAGAUCAGCUCUUGGGUCAAGUUGGAGGGAAAGAGAGAAGAAACGCUGCUCCCCCGUGAGUGGGAACCCUUCAGUGCCUGCUCCUGGCUGUGGGCCCCUGAUUUGGGGGAGCAGGGGGGAGGCAGGGCUCCGGGCGGGGCCGGCAGCAGAUGGGAGACCUGGAGCUGAGCUGAAGCGCCCGCCCGCUCUCCCGGCUGGGGCCAGUGGGCAGGAGCCGGCCGCUGGUUCUGGCCAGUGCUCAGGGGAGGCGGCAGGGAUGAUAAGGGACAGCCCUGGUGCCACACUGAUCUGCUUUGUGACCUGGGCCUCGGUCCAAACUGCCAUCUCGUUCCGGGAAGAACGUCUUUCUCACGCCCCGGCCCCACCUGCAAGACAGGAGGAUGCGUGAAAAGCCAACACGCUGCGCUUCUCCCAAUCCGGAACCUCGGAUGCUGGCGCGAAGAGGCCGGACACCUGUGCCCAGUCCUGCUCCCCUUUAGGACGUGACCCCUGCUCACGGAGCCCUGUCUGGCAGCUGGCAUGCUCUGUCCGUGCUGCCCACCCGGUGCUACGUUGCUGUGAUGCCCUUGGGAGAAGACCCCUGGUCCCAGCCCCCCGAGGAUCCGGCUACAGCCCGUACCCUGCCCCGCGGAUGCUCCGAACCCUAGCAGACUGCAGGAGGGGCGCCUGUUACAAACAGGCGAUUGCUUGGUGGGAAACGACCCCAAAGAGAUCCACCGACUGAACCAAAGCCGGGCCAGGACGCCCGCAGAGCCCUUACUGACUGCCGUCCCCAGAACCCGCGGUCCGACGACAGCUCCACCCGGUGCUGGGCUGGGCAGGGCAGCCUCCCGGCACCCCGGAAUCUCCAGCUCACAUCCAAGAAAGAUGGACUUGAUUUUCACCAAGAAGAUCGCCUAAAAGUCCGACAAAGCGGUUUACAGCACUCGUGGUGCUGUUAGGGAACAUCACCGUAGCUGCCUCGGGAAAGCCUCCUCUCUCUCCCCUCUCCCAUCAGCAUCAGACCCCACUUUCGGGAACCACCGGCCAUGUCUGUCCACAGUGUCUUUGGUUCCUAAUGAAGAUUCCAAGGAAAAGAAAUGGAACAUUGAUAAGAUUUCCGAAGCAAUUUAAAUAAAAAGUUGCAGCUAGAGGAAACUUUCACAUACAAUAACAUACACAAUUUAACUAUCGAAGGUAAAAGGAGUGCCUUCUUAGGUAAAUUUUAUUUAAUUUGGAAGACGACUGUAUUGUAGCCUUGAGAUAAAAAUGGCCAGUAUGCAAAGCCCACCCAAUGAAAUGCUCCAAUUUUAAUGGGUCUAACUUACGUCCAUUUACUUGGCUCCCCCUUGCUGGUGUGUGACACAUACAUCUCUACUUUGCUUUUACCUUUCUAAUGACAGGAUUAAAUUGGCUAAAAAGUGUGUCACAUCCUAAGGGCUCAGUUAAAAUUCCAGCCACCCUCCUCGUAGCUCAGGGCAUGGAUUAGAGGUGGCUGCCAGAGGAGGGGAGUGUACCUCUGGACCUGUGGGGGUGGCUGGGCACCCCAGGCCCAGCAGUGGCCGUGGAGGUUGGCAAGGCUGAAUCGAGGACCUGUUGUCACUUCACUCUUGAAUUACUGAGUGGCAUGGAGCUGUCACCUGGACUUGUUCAUGUGUGGUGUGAUUGUGAAGUUCCCGUGUCCACGUGUUGGGUUAUGUGCCCAAUUGUCUGGUCAAGCAUGCACUGGACUGAUGGUUACUAUGAGGACAUUUCAUGGACUUAAAUCAUCAGUAAGUUGAUUGCAUCUAUGGCUGAUUGCAUCUACAAUCAACAGAGGAGAUUGCCUUCAGCAAUGAGAGAAGUCUCAUCCACCUGUUGAAGACUUUAAAUGGAGAACUGAUGACUUCAACAGUCAGAAGAGAGCAUUUCCAUCUCUACAUCAGCCAGCCAACUUCUCCUGGGGAAUUCACCGAAAACAUUCAUUGGCGUUCCCAGAUGGUGGCCUGCCCCACAGAAUUUGGAUUUCCCAUCCAUGUGAGCCAAUUCCUCUAAUGAAUCUUAUAAUAUUUAUAUAUAUAUAUAAUCGCACACGCACACACACGUAAAAUAUCCUGUUGGUUCUGUUUCCCUGGAGACACUAUUGCACAUGGGAUGGACACAUUGGAAAAACUAAUUACAAACCACUCUCCCAAGACAUCAAAUGUAAUACCUUCCAAGGAGAAAAAACAAUGUUAGAACAGAAGUGGAAAGCGGCACUUGAAGUCAGUCCCCACUGAGACGGCCAGGGGCCCAGCCGCGGGGACAGUUGGCCAGUGCUGCGGGGAGGUAUGUGUGUGCACACGUGUGUGUGUGUGCGCGAGUGCACAUGAGGCUGUAUUUGGCCUGCGGCUUCGCUAAAACCACAGUGUAGCAAGUUGGUUUGUUUUUUGCCCUUUUAACGCUUUGACCCUUCAAUUUUAAAAGGACCGAUGGUAGACAACGCUUGGCAGAAGCGAGGGAGCGGUGAGGACGCCUUUGAAAGACUUGGGACACCCUCUUCCCUGUUACAAUAGGUGGAGGAGAAUGGCCUUGGAGACCAGGCUAUGGAAAACUCCUGAGACAGCUUGGAGAGGGGAAAGAACCUCUUUUCGGCUGGAAAGUGUACAGGGGGUGCAGCUCCAAGGGGAGCAGGGCCCUACGGGGGGCUUCACCUCUGUCUGCCUGGGGAAGGUGGAGGGACACAGGCAAAUCCCGGCCGCAUCUGGGAGCACGGCUGGGCAUGAGUGGAAGUCAGACAUGCUAACCUCUGAUGGGCUCCAAACGUGGUCCCUCUGGGACCAGAGCGUCCCUGGCUGGACAAAGGCACACACCACGCAGACCAGUGCUCCCAGGGCCCUCGGGAGCCCGCGGCCUCCAGCUAGGACGUGCUGCUCCCUCUGGCCACUGCCCAUCACAUCUGCCCUUUGUGCCUUGUGAGGCCUCUAUUCCCCUUUUGUUCUGGCCAUCUUUCAGUCGUCCUAUUGUGGCUCCAAUGACCUUAGGUGACUCCGAGAAGAACAUUUUAUUUGUGACGGGUCCAUUAGGUGCAAGGUGUCCAGGCAAGUGCCAACCUCGGGCAAACAUCUGUGCAGUGUCAGUGCAGGCGAGACGAGCGGCACGCUCCGGGGCUGCCCCACACCCUCCCCCCAUCCCACCUGCAGUGAACCAACACCCCAGCCUGGUCUGGAAGCUUGAGGCUCCUGUGGAAAGUGCCAGCCCGGGCCCCACCA
Molecule: long non-coding RNA, 3544 nt
Organism: Choloepus didactylus (southern two-toed sloth)
Lineage: Eukaryota; Metazoa; Chordata; Mammalia; Pilosa; Megalonychidae
Exons: 4
Source: RefSeq, a predicted model, not a curated record